RNAcentral lists this transfer RNA (68 nucleotides) under human gut metagenome. It matches the Rfam family "tRNA". Rfam says of the family: Transfer RNA (tRNA) molecules are approximately 80 nucleotides in length. Their secondary structure includes four short double-helical elements and three loops (D, anti-codon, and T loops). The record is from RNAcentral.
GGCAGUAGCUCAGUCGGUAGAGCAUCAGCUUCCCAAGCUGAGGGUCACGGGUUCGAACCCCGCCUGCC